Molecule: small RNA, 140 nt
Filed under: Nocardioides sp. AX2bis
Lineage: Bacteria; Bacillati; Actinomycetota; Actinomycetes; Propionibacteriales; Nocardioidaceae
Description: ydaO-yuaA
Rfam family: c-di-AMP riboswitch aptamer (ydaO/yuaA leader)
About the family: This family represents a conserved RNA structure found upstream of the ydaO and yuaA genes in Bacillus subtilis and related genes in other bacteria. The ydaO/yuaA element is thought to act as a genetic "off" switch for the ydaO and yuaA genes in its native state. It is believed that the element may be triggered during osmotic shock leading to activation of ydaO, a predicted amino acid transporter gene, and members of the yuaA-yubG operon which code for KtrA and KtrB K+ transporters.
Source: RNAcentral
CGUCGAGUCGCGAACCGAUCCGUCGGGGAGCGAGCCGGGGAACCAAGCACCUGGGGUGAAUCCCCCUCGUGGCCGCGUGCGGCCGGGCGGGGGUAGGGCCAAGUCGUGCCCGAAUCCGUCAGCUCACCUGGUAGACGUCA